GAUGAACGCUGGCGGCGUGCCUAAUACAUGCAAGUCGAGCGAACAGAUGAGGAGCUUGCUCCUCUGACGUUGGCGGCGGACGGGUGAGUAACACGUGGAUAACCUACCUAUAAGACUGGGAUAACUUCGGGAAACCGGAGCUAAUACCGGAUAAUAUAUUGAACCGCAUGGUUCAAUAGUGAAAGACGGUUUUGCUGUCACUUAUAGAUGGAUCCGCGCCGCAUUAGCUAGUUGGUAAGGUAACGGCUUACCAAGGCAACGAUGCGUAGCCGACCUGAGAGGGUGAUCGGCCACACUGGAACUGAGACACGGUCCAGACUCCUACGGGAGGCAGCAGUAGGGAAUCUUCCGCAAUGGGCGAAAGCCUGACGGAGCAACGCCGCGUGAGUGAUGAAGGUCUUCGGAUCGUAAAACUCUGUUAUUAGGGAAGAACAUAUGUGUAAGUAACUAUGCACGUCUUGACGGUACCUAAUCAGAAAGCCACGGCUAACUACGUG
This 497-nucleotide ribosomal RNA is filed under the name uncultured bacterium. Its description in RNAcentral is "partial 16S ribosomal RNA". It matches the Rfam family "Bacterial small subunit ribosomal RNA", at positions 28 to 507 of the family's 1533-position model. The record is from RNAcentral.